RNAcentral lists this ribosomal RNA (369 nucleotides) under uncultured fungus. RNAcentral's name for it is "eukaryotic LSU rRNA". It matches the Rfam family "Eukaryotic large subunit ribosomal RNA", at positions 40 to 398 of the family's 3401-position model. Lineage: Eukaryota; Fungi. The record is from RNAcentral.
AUAUCAAUAAGCGGAGGAAAAAGAAACUAACAAGGAUUCCCCUAGUAACUGCGAGUGAAGCGGGAAAAGCUCAAAUUUAAAAUCUGGCAGAUGCUUGUCUGUCCGAGUUGUAACCUAGAGAAGUGUAACCUGUGCUGGACCAUGUACAAGUCUCCUGGAAUGGAGCAUCAUAGAGGGUGAGAAUCCCGUCUUUGACAUGGACUACCAGUGCACUGUGGUUGUGCACUCGACGAGUCGAGUUGUUUGGGAAUGCAGCUCUAAAAUGGGUGGUAAAUUCCAUCUAAAGCUAAAUAUUGGCGAGAGACCGAUAGCGAACAAGUACCGUGAGGGAAAGAUGAAAAGAACUUUGGAAAGAGAGUUAAACAGUAU